Molecule: ribosomal RNA, 1978 nt
Filed under: marine sediment metagenome
Description: bacterial LSU rRNA
Rfam family: Bacterial large subunit ribosomal RNA
Source: RNAcentral
UUAAGUAAGGAAGGGCGUACGGCGAAUGCCUUGCCACUCGAAACUGAAGAAGGACGCGCCAAACUGCGAAAAGCUCCGUGAAGCUGUAAGGAAGCGAAGAAGCGGAGGUGUCCGAAUGGGGGAACCCGGCAGCAGACAUGAGCUGUCAUCUGCAGGUGAAUACAUGGCCUGCAAGAGAGGUACCCGGCGAACUGAAACAUCUAAGUAGCCGGAGGAAAAGAAAACAACAGUGAUUCCCUGAGUAGCGGCGAGCGAAAGGGGAGAAGCCCAAACCGGUUGAAGGACCGGGGUUGAAGGACCAUGACAUGGCAAGAACGAGGAUAGGAGAACGGGAUCGAAAGCCCGGCCGAAGAAGGUGAAAGCCCUGUAACCGAAAUCCGAGUAAAGCCUAAUGGGAUCCUGAGUACGGCGAGACACGAGAAAUCUUGUCGGAAGCAGGCGGGACCAUCCGCCAAGGCUAAAUAUAAACGAGUGAGCGAUAGUGAACCAGUACCGUGAGGGAAAGGUGAAAAGAACCGCGGGAGCGGAGUGAAAGAGAACCUGAAACCGUAUGCCUACAAGAAGUCAGAGCCCGUUAAGGGGUGAUGGCGUGCCUUUUGUAGAAUGAACCGGCGAGUUGCGACAGACUGCGAGGUUAAGGAGGAAAGACCGGAGCCGAAGCGAAAGCGAGUCUUAAGAGGGCGAAAGUAGGAUGUUGCAGACCCGAAACCGGGUGAUCUAGCCAUGAGCAGGUUGAAGUUGAGGUGAAACUCAAUGGAGGACCGAACCGACUACCGUUGAAAAGUUAGCGGAUGACUUGUGGCUAGGGGAGAAAUUCCAAUCGAACCCGGAGAUAGCUGGUUCUCCCCGAAAUAGCUUUAGGGCUAGCGUCGGAAAGAACCUUAGUGAAGGUAGAGCACUGAAUGUGUGAUGGCCCCAUCCCGGGGUACUGAAUACAAUCAAACUGCGAAUGUCAUUAAGGAUGUCCGGCAGUCAGACUGUGAGUGAUAAGGUCCAUGGUCAAGAGGGAAACAGCCCAGACCGCCAGUUAAGGUCCCAAAAUACAGGCUAAGUGGAAAAGGAUGUGGGGAUGCCCAGACAACUAGGAGGUUGGCUCAGAAGCAGCCAUCCUUUAAAGAGUGCGUAACAGCUCACUAGUCGAGUGACCCUGCGCCGAAAAUGUACCGGGGCUAAGCCUGAUACCGAAACUGCGGAUUGUAGGAAACUAUAGUGGUAGGGGAGCGUUGUAUACGAGCAGAAGCCGUACCGUGAGGAGCGGUGGAUUGUAUAGAAGUGAGAAUGCCGGUGUGAGUAGCGAGAUGUAGGUGAGAAUCCUACACACCGAAAGCCCAAGGAUUCCAGGGGAAGGUUCGUCCGCCCUGGGUAAGUCGGGACCUAACGCGAGGCCGAAAGGCGUAGUGGAUGGAAAGCAGGCGAAAGAUUCCUGCACCCGUAUAUGGAGCGAAGGAGUGACGGAGACGGAUAGUGUGACCCUCUUAAUGGAUUGAGGGCGAAGCGAAGCGGCUGGUUACCAGGCAAAUCCGGUAACCAAAAGGCUAGAGCGUGACAGGUAAGCGAAAUCUUAGGAAAGUAGCGAAGCACAUGAUGACGGCUUCCAGGAAAAGCUUCUGGCAAUGCAUAUGCGGCCCGUACCAAAACCGACACAGGUGGGCAGGGAGAGAAUCCCGAGGUGAGCGAGAGAACUGUUGCCAAGGAACUCGGCAAAAUGACUCCGUAAGUUAGCGAGAAGGAGUGCUUAAGCAAUUAAGCCGCAGUGAAGAGGCCCAAGCGACUGUUUAACUAAAACACAGCUCUCUGCGAAGUCGCAAGACGAAGUAUAGGGGGUGACACCUGCCCGGUGCUGGAAGGUUAAGAGGAUCUGUUAAGAGCGAUCUGAAGCAGUGAUCCGAAGCCCCAGUGAACGGCGGCCGUAACUAUAACGGUCCUAAGGUAGCGAAAUUCCUUGUCAGGUAAGUUCUGACCCGCACGAAAGGUGUAA